UACGGGGGGGGCAAGCGUUGUUCGGAAUUACUGGGCGUAAAGGGCUCGUAGGUGGCCAACUAAGUCGGACGUGAAAUCCCUCAGCUUAACUGGGGAACUGCGUCCGAUACUGGAUGGCUUGAGUUUGGGAGAGGGAUGCGGAAUUCCAGGUGUAGCGGUGAAAUGCGUAGAUAUCUGGAGGAACACCUGUGGUGUAGACAGCUUACUGGACCAUUUCUGACGCUGAGACACGAAAGCGUGGGUAGCAAACAGG
This 253-nucleotide ribosomal RNA is filed under the name uncultured bacterium. RNAcentral describes it as "partial 16S ribosomal RNA". It matches the Rfam family "Bacterial small subunit ribosomal RNA", at positions 524 to 776 of the family's 1533-position model. The record is from RNAcentral.